AACGAACGCUGGCGGCAUGCCUAGCACAUGCAAGUCGAACGAAGGCUUCGGCCUUAGUGGCGCACGGGUGAGUAACGCGUGGGAAACUGCCUAUUGGUGGGGAAUAACGACGAGAAACUGUCGCUAAUACCGCAUAAGCCCUUCGGGGGAAAGAUUUAUCGCCGAUAGAUGUGCCCGCGUCCGAUUAGCUAGUUGGUGAGGUAAUGGCUCACCAAGGCGACGAUCGGUAGCUGGUCUGAGAGGAUGAUCAACCACACUGGGACUGAGACACGGCCCAGACUCCUACGGGAGGCAGCAGUGGGGAAUAUUGGACAAUGGGCGAAAGCCUGAUCCAGCAAUGCCGCGUGAGUGAUGAAGGCCUUAGGGUUGUAAAGCUCUUUCGGGUGGGACGAUGAUGACGGUACCACCAGAAGAAGCCCCGGCUAACUUCGUGCCAGCAGCCGCGGUAA
Molecule: ribosomal RNA, 449 nt
Filed under: uncultured bacterium
Lineage: Bacteria
Description: partial 16S ribosomal RNA
Rfam family: Bacterial small subunit ribosomal RNA
Source: RNAcentral